CACUUCUAAGGAAGGCAGCAGGCGCGCAAAUUACCCAAUCCUGACUCAGGGAGGUAGUGACAAGAAAUAACAAUAAACCGGCUUAUGCCGGUUUAAUUGGAAUGAGUACAAUUUAAACAUCUUAACGAGGAACAAUUGGAGGGCAAGUCUGGUACCAGCAGCCGCGGUAAUUCCAGCUCCAAUAGCGUAUACUAAAGUUGUUGCAGUUAAAAAGCUCGUAGUUGGAUUUCUGUGGGGACGGAGCGGCCGGCCGCACAUCGCGGUUCGAGCUAGCGCUUUCCCUACAUCCUGCCGCGAACCGUGCUACCAUUAAUUUGGUGGCGCCGGAGAUCGGCUCGAUUACUUUGAGAAAAAUAGAGUGUUCAAAGCAGGCCACAUGCCUUGAAUAAGUUAGCAUGGAAUAAUAACUAAGGACUUCGGUUCUAUUUUGUUGGUGUUCGGGACUGAAGUAAUGAUUGAUAGGGACAGUUGGGGCGGUCUGUAUUCCAAAGCGAGAGGUGAAAUUCUUAGACCUUCGGAAGACAAACAGCUGCGAAAGCGUUCCGCAAGGAUGUUCCCUUUGAUCAAGAACGAAAGUUGGGGGAUCGAAGACGAUCAGAUACCGUCGUAGUCUCAACUAUAAACUAUACCAGCUAGGGAUCGGCCAACGUUAUUUCAUACCGACUUGGUCGGCACCUUAUGAGAAAUCAAAGCAUCUGGGUUCCGGGGGGAGUAUGGUCGCAAGGCUGAAACUUAAAGGAAUUGACGGAAGGACACCACCAGCCGUGGAGCCUGUGGCUUAAUUUGACUCAACACGGGAAAACUUACCAGGUCCAGACAUAGUAAGGAUUGACAGAUUGAUAGCUCUUUCUUGAUUCUGUGGGUGGUGGUGCAUGGCCGUUCUUAGUUGGUGGAGUGAUUUGUCUGGUUAAUUCCGUUAACGAACGAGACCCCAGCCUGCUAAAUAGCGCGCGUGAGCUUUGCUCGCGGCGAGCUUCUUAGAGGGACUAUGAUGCGCGAUAGCACAUGGAAGUUUGGGGCAAUAACAGGUCUGUGAUGCCCUUAGAUGUUCUGGGCCGCACACGGGCUACACUGGCGCCUGCAACGAGCAUAUCAGCUGGCCCGAGAGAGUCUUGGCUAAUCUUUUGAACCGGCGCCAUGCUUGGGAUUGACCUUUGCAAUUGUUGGUCAUGCAACGAGGAAUGCCUUGUAAACGCGAGUCAUCAGCUCGCAUUGAAUACGUCCCUGCCCUUUGUACACACCGCCCGUCGCUCCUACCGAUGAAUGUUCCGAUGAAAUUUUCGGAGAGCACCUGUGAACUUGGCUCCGCCUUGCGAACGGGAGGCUCAAAGUCACUUAAAUCUGAACAUUUCGAGG
This 1356-nucleotide ribosomal RNA is filed under the name uncultured marine eukaryote. RNAcentral's name for it is "SSU rRNA". It matches the Rfam family "Eukaryotic small subunit ribosomal RNA", at positions 411 to 1779 of the family's 1831-position model. The record is from RNAcentral.